AGGUUAUCUUGUAGAUUAUAAAAUGGCAGUAAGCUUCAUGGAUAUUCGUCAUCAAAGGCCUCCACUCAGUGUAUGUUGACCCGAGUCUUAAAAGACUGUUUCUUAAAUGCUCUUCCAGUGUUGAUUCUAAUAAAUGCUCAAACAUGAUCAAUUUAUCUUCUCACUUAUGUCCCCUCCCAGCAACAUGAUAAACCUCAAUUACAUAAAUCCUGAAUAACAAAAUAAUUGAUAAAAAAGCAACCAAUAUGCAGCCCAUAGAAAGUCUAUAAUUAACACUGAGAUAUAUGCAUUUCCCAUUUAUCAUGUUAAACUAGGAUUGGUUUAACAAAAAAAAAGAAUAACAAUAACUUACGACCAAAGUAUAAAACCCUCUGAGUUUCGUAUCUCUGAGAAAUUACAGUCACUUUUAAAGAGUGAUUCUUAGUAUGUGUCAUCCAAACAGAAAAGACUCUUAGAGCGCGUUUGUUUCAAGGAAAUUGUUAAAUCCACAACAGAAAUUGUUAUUUCCACAACAAAAGUGUUGUUAUAGAUCCUAUAGCGACGGUCUUCACUGUCGACACUUUGUUGUGGAAAUAACAAAAAGUGUUGUGGAUUUAACAAUUACCUUGUUUCAAGGAAAGUGUUUUCUGCAUUUCAGACGAUUGGAAUAACUGUAAAAAUUGGUAAUUGUUUUGCAGGUCAAUGCACAAGUUAGUUUUCCGAAAAAAUAACGUGUACUCUUCAACUACACAAGUCAUUUUCCCUAAAAAAUCAUUUCUUAGAAACAAGCAGACCUUCAAAAUUAGGAUAAAGUUGAGAAUACAUAAUAAUACUCUCUCAGUCCUAAAAUAAGUCCAUUAUCAAAAUCAAUGUAAAGAAUUUAAGGGGAAAAAAACUCACUUUUUAAGGGUGGCAGUAUGAUUCACAUAUUCAAUUACAUUCACAAUUCACAACAGCAGAUUACCAAAUAAUAAAUAAAAACUCAAAUGCUUGAUAUAAUGAUACAUUAAAACAGGGAACAAACUGAAAAUCAUUCAAUAACUCCAAAAAUUCAGUAAAAAUUUAUUUUUUAAAAUAAUAAUAAUUUGAGAAAUCGGUUUUGUACCAAAAUUCUUAACAAUAACAAGUUCGACGAUUUUGAAAAGGGAUGAGCUAGGGAGUCGUUGAAGCAAUGACACGUCGCCUAAUUAAAACUUAUCAUAACAAGCUUAUCAGAAUAAUUAAAACUAGAAGCUAUCUGCUGAUUGAGAAGGAAUAAAAUCAAAAUAAAAUGAUGGGAAAAUGAAAAUUUACAUGGUUCUGACAAUAAAACAAUGUAAAAUGCCAACCUGUAUUAAAUUAGCAAUAAAAGCAAGGGGGUAAGAGAGAUCUAGUUUGAGUAGACAAUUUAUCAAACACAUUGUGAGCUUCCUUAAUUGCUACCAAAUAAGAUAUACAAUAAAAUACAUACAGGUAGGUACUAAUAAUAUUAGGUUUCUUAACAGUAAACACACAAAAUUAAAAACUAACCUUUACUUUAGGAACACCAAUGGAGGAGGAGUUAACACUAUUAAAAUUUAGGGCUUGUUAGGGGAGGAGAGAAAUAGAGGAAAUCAAAACAAAAUUAGGGGUAGAUGAGAUAAAUACAUUUUGUUUUUACAUUGGAUUAAUGUAAAUAUAAAUUGAAAACCUAAAGACUGAAUUUACCUGCUCAAAUAGUUUCAAUAUGCAGAAUUGAUGUCAAGGGUUCCAAUGUGAGAGGGACGGAUGGAUGGAGUGAGAUGAGAGAGAUAUGUAUGGAGUUUGCAGUGGGAGAAAUGUGAGGACAUGCAGACAACCGAGCGAUUAGUUGUGGCUUUCUAUAGAGAGGAGGGGAUUACCGAAGAGGGAGAUGUUUGAUUUGUUAAUUCUUUUCCUUUUGUUGCUUACUGAUAUGCCGAAGACGACGAUUGAACGAGAUAGGGCGAUUGAGGGAGAUAGGGCUCGACUGAAUGUAUUUUCUAAACUGAGGGAGUUAAAAUUGAGGGAGAGAAUGGGCGUGAAAAUAAUGGAGGGACAUUUUCGCAGACAACUUAUUUUAGGAAAAACUUGUUUUAUUU
Molecule: long non-coding RNA, 2057 nt
Filed under: Panax ginseng (ginseng)
Lineage: Eukaryota; Viridiplantae; Streptophyta; Magnoliopsida; Apiales; Araliaceae
Description: long non-coding RNA (PGIN_LNC010892)
Source: RNAcentral